UACAGAGGGUGCGAGCGUUGUUCGGAAUUACUGGGCGUAAAGCGCGCGCAGGCGGCCUUUUAAGUCUGACGGUGAAAUGCCGGGGCUCAACCCCGUGCCCGCCGGAGAUACUGGGAGGCUGGAGACGAGUAGAGGCAAGCGGAAUUCCGGGUGUAGCGGUGGAAUGCGUAGAGAUCCGGAAGAACACCGGAGGCGAAGGCGGCUUGCUGGGCUCGGUCUGACGCUGAGGCGCGAAAGCGUGGGGAGCAAACAGG
This 254-nucleotide ribosomal RNA is filed under the name uncultured bacterium. RNAcentral describes it as "partial 16S ribosomal RNA". It matches the Rfam family "Bacterial small subunit ribosomal RNA", at positions 524 to 776 of the family's 1533-position model. The record is from RNAcentral.